MicroRNA precursor from Oryza sativa Indica Group (long-grained rice), 208 nucleotides. It matches the Rfam family "MIR812 microRNA precursor family". The record is from Rfam. Lineage: Eukaryota; Viridiplantae; Streptophyta; Magnoliopsida; Poales; Poaceae.
AAUAAGUGUAGUUUUAUACUAUUCACGUUUAAUAUUUGAUCUUUCGUCUUAUUUGAAAAUUUUUUAUGAUUAGUAUUUUUAUCGCUAUUAGAUAAUAAAACAUAAAUAGUACUUUAUGUGUGACUAAAUAUUUUUAAAUUUUUCACAAAUUUUUUAAAUAAGAAGGACGGUUAAACGUUAGACACGAAUAUCUACGUCUACACUUAUU